AACGCACCUUGCGCUCUUUGGUAUUCCGAAGAGCAUGCCUGUUUGAGUGUUGUGCGACCUGUAAGCUUCGGCUUGAUUUUGGACGUGAUUGCCGGCCUGGCCGGCUGGUCCUGAAUGCAUUAGCUUGGACCUCGCUUGCGAUCGGUUUGACUCGGCGUGAUAAGUAUCCUUCGCCGGGGAACGGGGACCCUUCGCGGGGCGACCGGCCGAACGCUUUUGGGGUUUGCUCUCCAAUCGUCCCUUUGGGACAGACACAUCACUGUGGCUUCAGCCUCAAAUCAGGUAGGACUACCCGCUGAACUUAA
RNAcentral lists this ribosomal RNA (305 nucleotides) under uncultured fungus. RNAcentral describes it as "eukaryotic LSU rRNA". The stretch from base 1 to 52 matches the Rfam family "5.8S ribosomal RNA", at positions 103 to 154 of the family's 154-position model. The record is from RNAcentral. Lineage: Eukaryota; Fungi.